Molecule: long non-coding RNA, 412 nt
Organism: Cydia fagiglandana
Lineage: Eukaryota; Metazoa; Arthropoda; Insecta; Lepidoptera; Tortricidae
Exons: 2
Source: RefSeq, a predicted model, not a curated record
UUCCGAAACUAUAAGCACUAUACUGUUGAAACUUGGCAAGUAGAUGUAUUCUGUGAACCGCAUUAAGAUUUUCAUACAAAAAUAGAAAAAAAAACAAAAAAUUUUUAGGGUUCCCCAUACAUAGAACUGAAACUCAAAAAUUUUUUUUUCGUCAAACCCAUACGUGUGGGGUAGGUCUUCAAAAAUGUUAUUGAGGUUUCUAAUAUCAUUUUCUUCUAAACUGAAUAGUUUACGCGAGAGACACUUCCAAAGUGGUAAAAUGUGUGUCCCCCCCCCCUGUAACUUCUAAAAUAAGAGUAUGAUAAAACUAAAAAAAAUAUAUGAUGUACAUUACCAUGCAAACUUCCACCGAAAAUUGGUUUGAACAAGAUUUGGUAAGUAGUUUUUUUUUUAAUACGUCAUAAACCGUAAA